RNAcentral lists this ribosomal RNA (332 nucleotides) under Brevibacillus agri. RNAcentral's name for it is "bacterial SSU rRNA". It matches the Rfam family "Bacterial small subunit ribosomal RNA", at positions 141 to 466 of the family's 1533-position model. Lineage: Bacteria; Bacillati; Bacillota; Bacilli; Caryophanales; Paenibacillaceae. The record is from RNAcentral.
GGAUAACAUAGGGAAACUUAUGCUAAUACCGGAUAGGUUUUUGGAUCGCAUGAUCUGAAAAGAAAAGAUGGCUUUUCGCUAUCACUGGGAGAUGGGCCUGCGGCGCAUUAGCUAGUUGGUGGGGUAACGGCCUACCAAGGCGACGAUGCGUAGCCGACCUGAGAGGGUGACCGGCCACACUGGGACUGAGACACGGUCCAGACUCCUACGGGAGGCAGCAGUAGGGAAUUUUCCACAAUGGACGAAAGUCUGAUGGAGCAACGCCGCGUGAACGAUGAAGGUCUUCGGAUUGUAAAGUUCUGUUGUCAGGGACGAACACGUACCGUUCGAAC